This 253-nucleotide ribosomal RNA is filed under the name uncultured bacterium. RNAcentral's name for it is "partial 16S ribosomal RNA". It matches the Rfam family "Bacterial small subunit ribosomal RNA", at positions 524 to 776 of the family's 1533-position model. The record is from RNAcentral.
UACGUAGGUGGCAAGCGUUGUUCGGAAUAACUGGGCGUAAAGGAUGCGUAGGCGGUUAAACAAGUUAUAUGUUAAAUAUAUAGGCUUAACCUGUAGAAUGCAUAUAAAACUGUUUAACUAGAGUGCAGGAGAGGUAAGUGGAAUUCCUAGUGUAGCGGUGAAAUGCGUAGAGAUUAGGAAGAACACCAGUGGCGAAGGCGACUUACUGGACUGUAACUGACGCUGAGGCAUGAGAGCAUGGGGAGCAAACAGG